UACAGAGGGUGCGAGCGUUGUCCGGAAUUACUGGGCGUAAAGGGCGCGUAGGCGGCUUGGUAAGUCGGGGGUGAAAGCCAGCGGCUCAACCGCUGGACUGCCUUCGAGACUGCCUGGCUUGAGCAUGGUAGAGGCUGGCGGAAUUCCCGGUGUAGCGGUGGAAUGCGUAGAGAUCGGGAAGAACAUCGGUGGCGAAGGCGGCCAGCUGGGCCAUUGCUGACGCUGAUGCGCGACAGCGUGGGGAGCAAACAGG
RNAcentral lists this ribosomal RNA (253 nucleotides) under uncultured bacterium. RNAcentral's name for it is "partial 16S ribosomal RNA". It matches the Rfam family "Bacterial small subunit ribosomal RNA", at positions 524 to 776 of the family's 1533-position model. The record is from RNAcentral.